GAUGAACGCUAGCGGGAGGCCUAACACAUGCCAGCCGAGCGGUAUUUGUUCUUCGGAACAGAGAGAGCGGCGCACGGGUGCGGAACACGUGUGCAACCUGCCUUUAUCUGGGGGAUAGCCUUUCGAAAGGAAGAUUAAUACCCCAUAAUAUAUUGAGUGGCAUCAUUUGAUAUUGAAAACUCCGGCGGAUAGAGAUGGGCACGCGCAAGAUUAGAUAGUUGGUGAGGUAACGGCUCACCAAGUCAAUGAUCUUUAGGGGGCCUGAGAGGGUGAUCCCCCACACUGGUACUGAGACACGGACCAGACUCCUACGGGAGGCAGCAGUGAGGAAUAUUGGACAAUGGGUUAGCGCCUGAUCCAGCCAUCCCGCGUGAAGGACGACGGCCCUAUGGGUUGUAAACUUCUUUUGUAUAGGGAUAAACCUACUCUCGUGAGAGUAGCUGAAGGUACUAUACGAAUAAGCACCGGCUAACUCCGUG
Molecule: ribosomal RNA, 479 nt
Filed under: uncultured bacterium
Lineage: Bacteria
Description: partial 16S ribosomal RNA
Rfam family: Bacterial small subunit ribosomal RNA
Source: RNAcentral